AAAUAUCUUAAGGUAUUUACUAACCAAGAUUGGAAUGAUACAGUGAUUAGCAUGGCCUCUGUGCAAGCAUGACACACAAAUUCAUGAAGUGUUCCAGAAGUAU
Molecule: small nuclear RNA, 103 nt
Organism: Ochotona princeps (American pika)
Lineage: Eukaryota; Metazoa; Chordata; Mammalia; Lagomorpha; Ochotonidae
Source: RefSeq, a predicted model, not a curated record